This 867-nucleotide ribosomal RNA is filed under the name uncultured bacterium. RNAcentral's name for it is "bacterial SSU rRNA". It matches the Rfam family "Bacterial small subunit ribosomal RNA", at positions 28 to 896 of the family's 1533-position model. The record is from RNAcentral.
GAUGAACGCUGGCGGCGUGCUUAACACAUGCAAGUCGAACGAUGAACCCCGCUUGCGGGGGGAUUAGUGGCGAACGGGUGAGUAACACGUGAGUAACCUGCCCUUAACUCUGGGAUAAGCCUUGGAAACGGGGUCUAAUACUGGAUAUUGACUUUUCCUCGCAUGGGGAUUGGUUGAAAGAUUUAUUGGUUUUGGAUGGACUCGCGGCCUAUCAGCUUGUUGGUGAGGUAAUGGCUCACCAAGGCGACGACGGGUAGCCGGCCUGAGAGGGUGACCGGCCACACUGGGACUGAGACACGGCCCAGACUCCUACGGGAGGCAGCAGUGGGGAAUAUUGCACAAUGGGCGCAAGCCUGAUGCAGCGACGCCGCGUGAGGGAUGACGGCCUUCGGGUUGUAAACCUCUUUCAGUGGGGAACAAGGCCAGUGUUUAGCUGGUUGAGGGUACUUGCAGAAGAAGCGCCGGCUAACUACGUGCCAGCAGCCGCGGUAAUACGUAGGGCGCAAGCGUUAUCCGGAAUUAUUGGGCGUAAAGAGCUCGUAGGCGGUUUGUCGCGUCUGCCGUGAAAGUCCGGGGCUCAACUCCGGAUCUGCGGUGGGUACGGGCAGACUAGAGUGAUGUAGGGGAGACUGGAAUUCCUGGUGUAGCGGUGAAAUGCGCAGAUAUCAGGAGGAACACCGAUGGCGAAGGCAGGUCUCUGGGCAUUAACUGACGCUGAGGAGCGAAAGCAUGGGGAGCGAACAGGAUUAGAUACCCUGGUAGUCCAUGCCGUAAACGUUGGGCACUAGGUGUGGGGGACAUUCCACGUUUUCCGCGCCGUAGCUAACGCAUUAAGUGCCCCGCCUGGGGAGUACGGCCGCAAGGCUA